CACGGUCCUGUCUCCUUGCCAGGGGUCUCCAUAGCUGCACCAAGAUCAAAAUUUUAUAAAUGAGGUUAGCCGGAUGCUUAAACAUCUCUGUGCUCGUUAUUUGGUUGGUUCGUUGUGCAUCACAACCGUCCAGUCAGUGUAGUCAAGGUUGUAUCCAUCGUGUAUUUCUGCUUUGCUUUCUCUGAAAAUUCAUGUCUCACACAAGGCCGGAUAGCCACAUGAGUUCGCUGAUGCCAACUUUUGCCUUCAAUGCUUCUGAUUUCACCCUUCUCCGCAUUCAAAUAAACCGUCCUACCUACGCAUGCUGCUGUUCACAUUUUGUAACUCCCAUGUUGUCAUCAGUGACUUCCCCACCGCUAGAGUGAAUUACAGAAACAAUCGAAAAUGAAGUUUAGGGUUGCAGGAAACACAAGCCCAUAAAUUCGUGCUAAAAACAACUAAUUCUGGGCCUUAUUUUUUUUUUCAAAUAACAGUAGUUGGCCUCUUUGGCCGUUGUGAUGAGGAUUAUGAAAAGGUGGGACCCGCAUUUGCCGACGUGAGAUCUGCCAUGGUCCUAACCGUGCGGGCAUGGAUCCGCCAUGGUCCCUGGCAUCCUAGAUCCGAUGACCUUUGCUACCAGAGGCCCUAGAUCCGGCGAACUUCGUCCCCAAACCAUGCGGCCAUGGAUCCACCAUGCAUGGUCCCUGGCCUCUCCUGGAAGGCUGGAACAGUGACCAUUGCCACCAGAUGCCCUGGAUCCGACGAACUUCUUCUACCAUGAACCGCUAUGCCAAGUCGGCAAAUCCAGGUCCCACUUGUCAUAAUCGUCAUCAAAACGAUCAAAGAGGCCAACUAGUGUUUUCUUGCAAAAACAAAUAGACGCAGAAUUAGUGGUUUUUGGCACAAAUCUGUAGACUUGUGUUUCCUUCAACCCUAGACUUCAGUGUCGAUGGUUUUUGCAAUUCACUCCCAUUGCUUGGACCUGCUAGUUUAAUCCUAGUGAGAACAUCCUGAGAUGUACGUCUUGGGAGGAUCCCAUACCACAAGAGGAUGAUAAUCAUGAUACACAUGUGGUGCAUAAAAAGUCCUUUGUAGCUGAAGAUGCCCGCGGCCCUAUUAUUGCAUCAAUCAUCACAGCUAUUUGAAAGAAGAACAAAAAUCUACCAGACAAAUGUAAUGUUCUUUAAGCAUUUGGUUAUCUCAUGUUCAACCCAUCAACCAAAUUAUGGACAUGCACAAGUCGUGAUGCAAGACCUGCUUUGCGUUUGCUUGAUCUAUGAUUCGACUCUCUCGCUUCCCUGUUAAUCACUCAUCACUAACAGGUCAUCGACGAGAAUCAACACUAACGGCUGGCUUAUGGUCGGUCAUCGUUGAGGGGUACUAUUGUAUUCCCAAGUUCUUAGUUGUGGGAAGAAAACCAACACUUUGGUUGAUGGGUCCUGCAAAAGCAAAAGCAAUAGUCCGCGAACACAAGAACAACCCGGUGAUACCUUUUGUAGCCGGAAAACUCUAGCCUUCGGUAGUACUACCUCUGUCCUGGUUUACUAGUGUUUGACCAUAAAUUUAACUAUUAAAAUAUAAAUUAUACUAUCUAACAAAAAUAAAAUAAUUGAGAACUACAUCCAAAUAUAAAUCCAAUAAUAUAUUCCUUCUGGAAACAAACAUAUGACGCUUUAGAUCUACGACGAUCAAAAUUGGACACAAAAUACGAAAGGGACUGAUAAACCCAGAAGGAUGUAGUAUAUAAACAAAGGCUUGCGAGAGGAUCGAGUAACUCCAACAGACCCGGCGGCAAGCAUAAAACUAGGGAGAUCAAUCAAUGGCGGCAGCUCUUUGAUUUGCUGCGAGAAGGAUCUGCGGUCGUGCCCUUCAGAGUCUCCAUCAACCGUAUUUUUCAGUGGUUUCCGGAGCUACCUUCAAGGAGGAACAGCGGCAGCUGUUGCCUAGUUUUAUGCAUGGCAGGAGCCCUCUUUCCAGGUUCUCCGCCGAUUCUCAACUAGAAUGAUCUAAAUUUAUUUGCAUCAUGGAGUCGUAUCCACUGCAAUUCCGACCAGGUCUUCUCCAUUAACCAAUAAUGCACAAACCCCGUCUCCUCCACCACUAUAUGGUAAUUAUGCACUACCUAGUUUAUAUAUACUCCCUCAGUUCGAAAUUACUUGUUUUGGAUUUGUCAUGAUAUGGAUGUAUUGAUCUAGCUACAUCCAUAUCAUGACAAAUCCAAGACAAGUAAUUCGAACGGAGGGAGUAUAUGUUUCCUUGUUAUUAACUUAUAUUUAUAAAUUUGUUCUGAACUUGUUUUUUAUUCCUAGGUCGCCUAGGAACAAAAUGUUCUUACCCAUUGUUGUUGGGUACGUAACUCAGAUGUGUGCAAUAAUGUCUACAAUACUUUACCGGAAUGCCGGCCCUUUAUUGGAUACAUGGUUAAGGUUCAGAUGUAUCAACCUACGAAUCUGUAUGCUUCGGAAAGAGCAGAAUAAUUGGAGUUGUGGACGCAAGAACUGUGAAAGUGACUCUAGAUGCAGAUGUAAUAAUUGAAAGUGAUUAUAGUAUCUAACUUGUUGAACAAUGGUUAUGAUGAUUCGGUAGUGCUUGUCAUCUGUCUGUUUU
This 2586-nucleotide long non-coding RNA is filed under the name Triticum aestivum (bread wheat). RNAcentral describes it as "long non-coding RNA (TAES_LNC016797)". The stretch from base 2110 to 2230 matches the Rfam family "MIR1120/MIR1122 microRNA precursor family". The record is from RNAcentral. Lineage: Eukaryota; Viridiplantae; Streptophyta; Magnoliopsida; Poales; Poaceae.